Prinia subflava (tawny-flanked prinia) is the source of this 2369-nucleotide long non-coding RNA. RefSeq lists it as uncharacterized. The transcript is spliced from 2 exons. The record is from RefSeq and is a predicted model, not a curated record. Lineage: Eukaryota; Metazoa; Chordata; Aves; Passeriformes; Cisticolidae.
GAGGCCCCGCCCCGAGUCCGUCACCGGCGGGAGCCGCGAAACGCCCGGAGAGGCGGCGGGGGCAGAACGGGAUCGGGAAUGGUGCGGGAAUGGCCUGGCUGGUUGUCACACUCGGGGCUGCCGCUGCUCCGGUGCCGCUGCCUCUACCUGUGAACAGGCUGCUCCGCUUGCAUCGACCACCGGUGCCCGGGACGUGUGGAAGUGACGGGUCCUGACACCAGCUCCAUCCCCCGGACAUCCCUGGCUCCAGCCGUUCCUCCAAACACAGCCGGGUGCAGCGGGAGGAGAGGAACAAGCGAGACCAGAGAGCCAAGGGACAGCACAAGAGCUAGAAUCGGCUGCCUCCCCUUCCUGGGACAAGGGAAAAGGGAAGACCGUGCUUGGGGCUCAAAGGUGCACUGACCUUUGUGUGGCCGAAGCUUUGGGAAGGUGGAAAAGGCAAAAGCUGCUUCCUCCCAGGGCUCCUGUUCCCCCCAGCCCUGUCAGGCAGCAGCAAUGAGUAUCUGGGCACUCAAUUUGGCUCACCCAGCAUUAAGGGGGUGGCGAGCCUGUGGUGGCCGAGGGGCUACUCAGGCACGAGCCCUGAGGAUGCAGAGAUGUUCCCUGGAGCCCUGCUGGGCUAUGGGCACAAUGGCCCAGGCCAGCCUGGCAAGGUAGCCCCAGCAGGAGGGACAGUUUAGGCUGGGAUGGACCAGGGGACACUGCUGGCCACUCAGGCAGGUGUCACCUUUCCCGGGAUUGCUGCUUCCUCAGGACUGGGGCUGUGCUGCCACCUGCCCUCUCCAGCCCUUCUCCAGCCCCAGGGAAGGGCUGGCAGGGAUCUCUGCUCCAGCUGCCAGAGCAACCUGAGAAGGAAAAGCCAAACUAUUCUAGGCCUGAGCAUGCCCUUCUCACCCCAACUCUUGUUCAUUUAAAACAAGAAACAGAGCAAGAAGAAUCAGUGUGAAGUACCAAAAAACCUUUAUUUUUUUCCCCCAAACCAUAACAACAUUUGACAUUAUAUUGAUUUCCUCAUAUAUUUGUUAUUUCUCUACAUUAGGAACCAGAUACAGAAAAUACAAACACGAUCUGUUGAAUCAAAGACGGCACAGCAUUCCGUUAGAAAAAGAAACACAAAAAAACUAGAGGAGCAAGAUAGAAAUGGUGAAAAAUAGUCAUUCCCUCCAGCCCAAACUUUCCAAGAAUCAUCAUCAAAAUAGAGCAGUGGAAGUAGCUUCUCUUUCUAAACACACUUCUGCUUUAAGACAAAAGUUAGAUUUAUCUUUAGAUUCUCAAAGUAAAAAAAUGUUAAACUAUCUUUCAAGCAAUUUUGGAAGUUUGCAUAGACCCAUUCCCUUUCCAAAAAUAUCAGCCAUCUCUCUAUAGAAUCUGAUACAAAUCGAGUGCGCCUCAGCCGAAGGUCACCAAGCUCAAUUCACUUUCAAGAAAAUAAAACAUGAUCUCCCCUUCCCCUCCCUCCCCCCACAAAAAUAUGGGCUCUACCAUUAAUCCAUGUGUUUGAGGCAGGUUACCAGGCUCAGCCACAUCCCUUGCUCAGAGCUUCACCCAAAUUCCUUUCCUUUCCCAGGUUUCCAUGCCCGCUGCCUCGGUGGGGGCAGCGCAAUUGAGGGUGCAGGGAGGGGCCCGAUGGACACAGCUCUCAGGAGGGAAGUGGGGGGAAUUCUGCAUUCAUCAAUCCCUCCCACAGCUUUUCAAGGACAAACACCUGCGACCAGGCAGAGUUUGUAGGAACUUAUCCCCAGGGACUGGCCUUGUCCAAAGGGCUCAGACACCAGAGCAAGAACUCAGCUAGAGACCAGCUGGGAUGGGGCAGGAGGGGUGGAGGGGGGUCUGCAGCCCCUGGGUAAGGCAGUGAGGAGGGGAGGGGGAGCCCCUCACCAGGAGGGGUUUCACUGUGGUGCUCUAGCGUACCUGGAGUGAGGUUUUCCCAGAGGUUCCUGGCAGCAGUGCAGAGACCAGCUGCACUGCCACCCGCUUAAAAAGAAACAGCAACGACAAAAUAAAUAAAAAGUCAACCCCUCCUAUUCAUCUGAGAAUGAAAUACUAUUUCUUCAGGCCUCCAACCUGGUUCAGAACCCUCUAAAAACUGAAGCAAAUGUUUAAAAGGGCUUGUUAAACCUUCUGCAGGGGGCAAAGUGAUGAGGGGGGGAGAAAUCACACGUCUGCUGCCCAUCACUCCAAGGGUCAGAACAGCACGAGGCCCCCAUUUAAAGUGCUGACCAUACAAAAGAUGAUGAUGAGGGAGCAACAUCCUUCUCCCCCUUUUCCCAUCACAAUUUCCAACUGAAAUCCAUCUCCUUUCACCAAGUAACGACUAAGCCUAUUGUUUUGGACACUCAGUUUUAUAUUGGUUUAAAAAAAAAAAGAAA